This 440-nucleotide ribosomal RNA is filed under the name uncultured bacterium. Its description in RNAcentral is "partial 16S ribosomal RNA". It matches the Rfam family "Bacterial small subunit ribosomal RNA", at positions 338 to 795 of the family's 1533-position model. The record is from RNAcentral.
CCUACGGGUGGCUGCAGUGGGGAAUAUUGCACAAUGGGGGAAACCCUGAUGCAGCGACGCCGCGUGAGUGAAGAAGUAAUUCGUUAUGUAAAGCUCUAUCAGCAGGGAAGAAAAUGACAGUACCUGUAGAAUAAGCUCCGGCUAACUACGUGCCAGCAGCCGCGGUAAUACGUAGGGAGCAAGCGUUAUCCGGAUUUAUUGGGUGUAAAGGGUGCGUAGACGGAGAAGCAAGUUAGUUGUGAAAUCCCUCGGCUUAACUGAGGAACUGCAACUAAAACUACUUCCCUUGAGUACUGGAGAGGAAAGUGGAAUUCCUAGUGUAGCGGUGAAAUGCGUAGAUAUUAGGAGGAACACCAGUGGCGAAGGCGACUUUCUGGACAGUAACUGACGUUGAGGCACGAAAGUGUGGGGAGCAAACAGGAUUAGAUACCCUUGUAGUC